AUCUUGAAGCAAAAAUCGCGUGUGCGCGUGCGCGACUGCCCAUGAGUGAGACGGCCGUUGGUUUGGAAGGAGCAGAUUCAAAUUCCAGUGGAGCAACGGCAGAAAUCCGAGGAAACAUCAUAUUCGACGGGUUUCCUUCAACAACGUUACGAGUCAUCAGAGGAGGAGCCUAGUGAAUAAGUGUGAGUGUGAAGCUGUAGGCCUGGAGACCCAACUGCACGCUCAGACCUGCAAGCUCAGACCUGCACUUCUAGACCCAUCGUUUUCUCAGACAGUACCACCUGCUGUUGGGUUGGGGGAGGCGACAGCGACGGAGGCCCAACUGCACGCUCAGACCAGCACUUUCUAGCAAGCAGCAACAUCAAACAUGCAGAGUCACUGGCCAGCUGUUUGGAACCAGUAAUACAGGAAAGUCAGAGAGAUCAGAACUGCAAAUACCAGUGAAGUUACCAGACAAGGUAGUGAAAUUCCUUUUAAAUUUUGGCUUGACAUUUAGAAGACAAUAAUUAAACUUCCAGUCUUGAUAAUGAAAUAAAACAAUGAAACUUUAUUGCAAUAAACAGGCAAAUAGGACAACUCAUGUGAGAGUCUGAACGCUUCAAUACAAUCGUAUAGUUAUACCAUUCAUGACAUUUACUGCAUUGAGUUGAUAUUUUAAGUUAAAUAUUGAAUUAACAAUAAUCAUGAAUUGCAAACAAAAUAAUCUAUGUCGCAUUGACUUUAAUUCAUUGUAAUUUCACUCAUGUACAAAC
Danio rerio (zebrafish) is the source of this 752-nucleotide non-coding RNA. The record is from RefSeq and is a predicted model, not a curated record. NCBI's taxonomy places the organism in Eukaryota, Metazoa, Chordata, Actinopteri, Cypriniformes, Danionidae.